Molecule: ribosomal RNA, 1246 nt
Filed under: metagenome
Description: bacterial LSU rRNA
Rfam family: Bacterial large subunit ribosomal RNA
Source: RNAcentral
UGAAUACGAGAUGCUACGGCGUCGAAGCAGUCUAUGUCAUACUUCCAAGAAAAGCUUGCACUGUCAUAAACAAAUAAUGCCUGUACCAUAACCGACACAGGUGGGUAGGUAGAGUAUACUAAGGGGCGCGAGAUAACUCUCUCUAAGGAACUCGGCAAAAUGACUCCGUAACUUCGGGAGAAGGAGUGCCUUAUUUUAUAAGGUUGCAAUAACAAGAUCCAAGCAACUGUUUACCAAAAACACAGGUCUCCGCUAAGUCGUAAGACGAUGUAUGGGGGCUGACGCCUGCCCAGUGCCAGAAGGUUAAAGAAGUUGGUUAGCAUCCGCGAAGCUGAUAACUGAAGCCCUGGUGAACGGCGGCCGUAACUAUAACGGUCCUAAGGUAGCGAAAUUCCUUGUCGGGUAAGUUCCGACCCGCACGAAAGGCGUAAUGAUUUGGAUACUGUCUCAGAGAGGGGCUCGGUGAAAUAGACUUGUCUGUGAAGAUGCGGACUACCUGCACCAGGACAGAAAGACCCUAUGAAGCUUUACUGUAACUUGAAAUUGAAAUUGGACUUUACUUGCGCAGUAUAGGUGGGAGGCGUUGAGAAUAUUCUUGCGGGAAUGUUGGAGCCAUCAGUGAGAUACCACUCUUGUAAUGUUAGAUUUCUAACUUUGUAUCAUUAUCUGGUCAAAGGACAGUUUCAGGCGGGCAGUUUGACUGGGGCGGUCGCCUCCCAAACGGUAACGGAGGCGCACAAAGGUUUCCUCUGAACGGGUAGAAAUCGUAUCUAGAGUGUAAAGGCAUAAGGAAGCUUGACUGUGAGACCUACAAGUCGAGCAGGGACGAAAGUCGGUCUUAGUGAUCUGACGGUGCUGAGUGGAAAGGCCGUCACUCAACGGAUAAAAGUUACUCUAAGGAUAACAGGCUGAUCUCCCCCAAGAGUUCACAUCGACGGGGAGGUUUGGCACCUCGAUGUCGGCUCAUCGCAUCCUGGGGCGGUAGUACGUCCCAAGGGUUGGGCUGUUCGCCCAUGAAAGCGGUACGCGAGCUGGGUUCGGAACGUCGUGAGACAGUUCGGUCCAUAUCCGGUGUAGGCGUUAGAAUAUUGAGAGGAGCCUUCUUUAGUACGAGAGGACCGAGAAGGACAUACCUCUGGUGUACCAGUUAUCGUGCCAACGGUAAACGCUGGGUAGCUAUGUAUGGAGUGGAUAACCGCUGAAAGCAUCUAAGUGGGAAGCCCACCUCAAGAUAAGUAUUCUCAAU